CAUUAUCGAANAUCGAGGGGGANUGUCGCUGGCUUCGGAGCGAUCUGGAGCAUGUGCACGUCUCUUUUCUUACACACACUCGUGCACACUUUGUAGGCCCUCGAGAGAGGGACUACGUUUUUCCACAUCACAUCCUUACGGGUAUGUAACAUGGAUGG
Molecule: unclassified non-coding RNA, 158 nt
Filed under: uncultured fungus
Lineage: Eukaryota; Fungi
Description: sequence contains ITS1
Source: RNAcentral